This 402-nucleotide ribosomal RNA is filed under the name uncultured bacterium. RNAcentral's name for it is "bacterial SSU rRNA". It matches the Rfam family "Bacterial small subunit ribosomal RNA", at positions 355 to 774 of the family's 1533-position model. The record is from RNAcentral.
UGGGGAAUCUUGGACAAUGGGCGCAAGCCUGAUCCAGCCAUGCCGCGUGAGUGAAGAAGGCCCUAGGGUUGUAAAGCUCUUUCGGCGGGGACGAUAAUGACGGUACCCGCAGAAGAAGCCCCGGCUAACUCCGUGCCAGCAGCCGCGGUAAUACGGAGGGGGCUAGCGUUGUUCGGAAUUACUGGGCGUAAAGCGCACGUAGGCGGGUCGUCAAGUCGGGGGUGAAAUCCUGGGGCUCAACCUCAGAACUGCCUUCGAUACUGGCGACCUUGAGUACGGGAGAGGUGAGUGGAAUUCCCAGUGUAGAGGUGAAAUUCGUAGAUAUUGGGAAGAACACCAGUGGCGAAGGCGGCUCACUGGCCCGUAACUGACGCUGAGGUGCGAAAGCGUGGGGAGCAAACA